ACGGGAGGCAGCAGUAGGGAAUAUUGCACAAUGGGGGAAACCCUGAUGUAGCGACGCCGCGUGAGUGAUGAAGUAUUUCGGUAUGUAAAGCUCUAUCAGCAGGGAAGAUAAUGACGGUACCUGACUAAGAAGCCCCGGCUAACUACGUGCCAGCAGCCGCGGUAAUACGUAGGGGGCAAGCGUUAUCCGGAUUUACUGGGUGUAAAGGGAGUGUAGGUGGUUUGGCAAGCCAGAUGUGAAAGCCCGGGGCUCAACCCCGCGGACUGCAUUUGGAACUGUUAAACUUGAGUGCAGGAGAGGAAAGUGGAAUUCCUAGUGUAGCGGUGAAAUGCGUAGAUAUUAGGAGGAACACCAGUGGCGAAGGCGGCUUACUGGACUGUAACUGACGUUGAGGCUCGAAAGCGUGGGGAGCAAACAGGAUUAGAUACCCUGGUA
Molecule: ribosomal RNA, 435 nt
Filed under: uncultured Anaerosporobacter sp.
Lineage: Bacteria; Bacillati; Bacillota; Clostridia; Lachnospirales; Lachnospiraceae
Description: partial 16S ribosomal RNA
Rfam family: Bacterial small subunit ribosomal RNA
Source: RNAcentral